This 666-nucleotide long non-coding RNA is filed under the name Carica papaya (papaya). RNAcentral's name for it is "long non-coding RNA (CPAP_LNC015870)". The record is from RNAcentral. Lineage: Eukaryota; Viridiplantae; Streptophyta; Magnoliopsida; Brassicales; Caricaceae.
ACAGUAGGUGUUAGCUGCGGCCCUUAUGGCAGAUGGUGCGGACGACAAGGACACCAAAGUCCCCGCGCAUUCGUAAAGAACGGCAGCAGAGGGGGCAUUCACUAAUUGUAUGAUGAUCUUAAUGUACUUACCCUUCUCGUUUCGAUUCGUUCUGCAAACCUUUCGAAUCAAUUCAAGCAGUAUCAUCUGCAGCUGCUCUCCCCAGUCAGUAAUUUUCUCGAGAUUAGCGAAAAGGUAACUAACGGCGCGAUCCUGAGCACAAGUGAAUAGCAUGAGGAAGGCAUUACGCUUGCUCGAAGGGUCCUGCUCAGAAGAGAGGACCUUCUCGAUGAUUUCCGGAGCCGAAUCGAGCAGCUGCUCACCUUGAGGAAGCUUGUAAAGGGACAUUACAGCGAGAAUGGCGUUCCUGCGAACGAAGGGAUGACGAUGCUCGAGGUUGGUUAAUAUGGAAGGAAUCAAAGGCUCAAUGAUCUCAGUCUCCUUGAGACGGCAGAGGAACCGCAAGGUAACGCCCCGGAUGUAUUCGUUUGGAUGCUGCAGAUUAUUCCGCAGGUUCUGGCAGAUUAAGAUCAUCUCCGGAAGAACUUUGCCCCGGGAAUCAGUCUUGUCGAUAAUCUCGAGAUAGAUCAGGAGAAGCUUUUGGAUCGUGUGAUCCUCGCUAGGGAG